GCGAGGAAAAAUUAGGUCCUGGGCCUGCUUCCAAAGUCGGGAUGGCUUGGCACGGGUGACAGGACGCGGCCAAGUGGUUCAGUCUCUGUACAUCGCGGUAACCAUCUAGAACUCACCUCACUCACCCACUGGAUGCCUUCUGAGAUGACAACAUCCAACAAGAAUGUCUUCCUCUGUUGAUGGUCCCUUGCCCGAGAUCUUGAACCAGGAGUCAUCAUCAUCCUGUCUUAGAACCAUCUCUUCAGACAGCAUCAUAGCUGUGUUGUAAUUUUCUUCAAAAACCAAA
Long non-coding RNA from Peromyscus eremicus (cactus mouse), 286 nucleotides. RefSeq lists it as uncharacterized. The transcript has 4 exons. Lineage: Eukaryota; Metazoa; Chordata; Mammalia; Rodentia; Cricetidae. The record is from RefSeq and is a predicted model, not a curated record.